Molecule: ribosomal RNA, 4832 nt
Filed under: Triticum aestivum (bread wheat)
Lineage: Eukaryota; Viridiplantae; Streptophyta; Magnoliopsida; Poales; Poaceae
Description: partial small subunit ribosomal RNA
Source: RNAcentral
GUUCCCGAUUGGUUCAGAACCCUAGCCUCCACUCCCUCGCGCCCCUCUUCUUCGCCCUUGCAGCCGCCGCCGCGCUCUUGCCCCCGCCGUGCCGCCGCCGCGCUCCUGUUCUUGCCCGCCGCGCGGCCGCCGCUGGCCCUGCUCCCCAUCCUCGGCCUCACCACCGGCGCAGGGCCAAAGGAGAAGGUAGAAGAAGACGCGCUCCACGGGGCCGGUGAAGAUCGAGGGCACAUCGAAGAAGGUGCUAGGCAGCGCGCCGCCGCCCUCCGCCGCGACGGCGAGCGUGUCGAGGACCCUGGUGGCCGUGGUCAUCAUCACGGACCUGCCGCUCGUGCCACCGCGUCCCCGUCGAGCUCGCGCGUCAUGUCGCCGGGAGCAGAGGAAGCCGGCGCUGCUCUUCCCAGAGGAGCGCUCUUUCGUGUUGUUGACUGGAGGAGACCAGUCGGAGCGAUGGGAUAGGCCAAGCGGAGCGUGGCGUCGCCGCCGGCUAGCGCGUCAACGGGAGGAGCCUUGCAGGUGGCCACACUAUAUAUUUCUCCUCAUUUAGCCUGCUCUCUCCUUUAAUUUAAUCCCUAGACUUUCUCUUCUUUGUGCAUGUUCAUUUGUGUACGUGCCUAGAAGAUGCCACCAACAGCAAGAUCUGGGAGAAAGAGGAGGAGACAAAGAGGGAGAUGGGGUCGGAAGAAGAGAUGGUGAAAGUAUCUGCUUGGGACUUCAUGGCUAGGCCUGUUAUUGCUAAGUUGGCAGCCCGUCACACUGUUGCACACUGCUACAUUUGUACUACCCCCAGCUGGUCCAAGUAGAGGAGAUAAGGCGCGUAUUUGGAUGUACAUGCCCACCACUCAUUGUAUCCAACCAUUAGCAUAUGUAUUUAGAUUUAGCCUGCAAAAGCUUGAGUAAAUUGUGAUCUUGGAAUUGUAUCUAUAAGUAAACAUUGUUCACUGAUUUAUCAUGUUUUGGAUGUUCCUCUUCAGUCUUCAGGAGAUGCUUGCACCUUGGUCAGGUGGAGAGGCUGCCGAGCAGCAACCAGGUGGUGGCUAUUUUGUCUACUGCAUCUGAGGCUAAGUCAAUGCUGACACCGGGUUCAGGUCAGCCAUGGAUCUCUUCGUCCAUAAAUAAGAAAAUGUUUGUCAUUAGCCCUUCUCAAACUGUAGCUGUACAGAUUUAAUGUAUUUCUACAACGGAAAGAACCAUGAACCUGUAGAUGUAUUUUUCCUUUAGUCGUCUUUUGGUCUGAAAGCAUGUUUUUAUACCCAUCGAUUGAUGAAACCAUACAUCUGGAGGUGUACUCUUUUCCAUGGAAAUGAAAUCCUUCCCUUUUUAGCUUCAGGAAUUAACUUUAUUGUAACUUCCCUUUCACGAAAGAGGUAUGCAUUUUUUGGCUUAAGAAGCAUGAGCUAUAUUUACAUCUCUUUGUCGCCUGCUAGAUGGUUUUGUCUAAACGAAAAGGUUACACACUACCAAAUAUUUUCCAGCUAUCUCUUGAGUGAUCUUGCUUGUCAGUAAUGUUUACAGUUUACACUACCUAAAUCCUAAGCUAAGGUUUAUCAGUAAUUAGAUAUACUUAGGUAAGUAGAGCUGUACAAGCCUAAUAAUAAAGGUUCAUCAAAUGGGGAACUUUUCAUGUACAUGAUCACAUUUUUUGUUGGCCUUCGUUUUUUAUUUUCCUCCCCUGAACUGGGACAACGUAGCCUCUGUUCCCUUGAUUGUGUGGCUUUGAUCAGUUGGUGUAGAUUCUAUUGUUUGCUAUCUCGAGCAAUAUCAUAAAAAUCCGAUAUUGUAGAUUUGUAGACUAAAAUAGUCGCUCAUCCUCACUAUUCGAUUUUGGGCGUCCCUCUUAAUGUUUCUCCAACUGGCUACGUAGUUGUGUUUUAGUUGAUGCUGUAGAAUUUCAUUUUCUUGAAUGUGGAAGGAUACUGAAAGGGAUACAUUUCAGUUCUCAUAUUAUUAGAAUAUAUACCUGCUCCCUGUCUUUUUGGAUAUGUACUUCUGUUAGCUAUGUGAGCUAUGGCUGUCCUGUAACAUGUACUUCUUGGGGGCAGUAGCACUACUCAUCUGCAUGUACAAUGUUUAUUUAAGAUACAAGACAGAAUGACUGCAGUCUUGGUUGAUACCUGAUCAAAAUCACCUAUUUAGCUUUACUGGAAAUGUUCAGUUUCUUACCAGUUAUCAUUUGUUGUCAAUAUAAAAAAAGUUUGUUGCUAAGAGAAAACUCUUCCAAUUGAUGUUUGGGGAAUGAUGUGCAUGGUAUUUAACUUUAUAGUGAGGUUCUAUUUUACUUGCAUUUGUCUUGCUAUGUUACACCAGAUGCUUAAAGUGCAUUUGUUUUGACAACUAAAGAGUGGUGAGGAUUCAUCACCCUACUUCACUCGAGUUGCUUCAGCAUCUGCCAUCAUCUUUUGUUGUUUAUACUUUUGUAAAAUCUAUAGAUUUCUCAGCGGAAAACUGAUAGAUUCAAAAGAUGCAUCAAAGAUUUCUACUUCACUCUUUAGUGUUAUUUAUAGUUUUGUGUUUAACAACUUGACUACCUAUCAUCUCUCUCCUACGACAAUUUAAUGUGAACUUAAUUACCACUAGAUAUGCGAAUGUAAUGUUUACAUCUUAUCAAUAUGUACAUGCACGAUUAGUUAUUCAGGUGAACACUACUUUACCUUGUCGGCCUUAGAUUGCAGUAUUAGGCUCCUCCACUCAUUGCUUUGCUUAGUUAAAUUUGUGGGAGAAAACAAAUAUAUAUGUAUGCAUUUAUUAUGUUUAGUUUCUUUGACCUAAUUUUAUAGAGGAAAAUCUUAUUUUUCUGAUAAUUUGUUUCUUGUGCAGAAGAAUCACAAUGCUUACAAAUAUUGUUCUGAAUAUAUGGAUUUUUCGGUAAGCUCAUCAUUCAUUCGGUUAAGCAUACAACCUUCUGUUUCAUCUACAGAACAGAAGAGCCUGCCUACUGUUUGUUACAGCCGAACAGGAGCAUGUUUCAUAUCAUGACCCAUGAUCAACAGCGGGUGCUGCCUCUGCUUCUUAAGGCUUGACUUCGCUCUAUGGAAGGUAAUAAACGUCCCAUUUCCCUAUUUCCAGCACGUAGAUUAUUCUGUGUCUGCUCUCUGAAGAGAUGAUUUAGAUGUUUAGUUCAGUACUGGGUUAGUUGGUUCUAAGUGAACUUAGGGUGCGAAAGAUGGGGAUCCAUGUAUGGUGGGAUAACCCUUGGGGCGUGGGCAGGCCGGGAUGUCGUGCGAUGAAUGUACACUAUCCGGCAAUUCUUUUGACAUUCUCUUUAUACUGCUGAGAUCUUGCUGGCACUGAAAAUCUAUAAUAUAGUUGCAGUGUCAUCCCAAUUAUCUUCUUGCCAUAUUAGUAGCUUAGAAAAUAAAUCCCUCCUCUGUUUUUUACCCUUUCCUCACUGUAAUUUGUAUAUACAUAAACAAUAUGCAAGUUGAGUAUAUAUAUGGCAUGACCAAGUUUUCGGGAGACAGCUGGUUUUACUAUUCGUGCUGAAUUCUGUCUUUGGUACCUCCAGUUUCAGUGCAAUACUUUUGGGUCUGUACUUCCUGGUUAAAGUUGGUUGAUGGACAACCAAUUAAAUCCAAUCAACUAUCUCCAGCACUAAAUACUGACGUACUGAGCCAACGACCUAUUGGUCCAGUGUGUGUUGCAUUUUCUACUUGCACUUGUAACCUAGUGUGAUGUUUUGGAAGGUAUCAUAUUGGUGAUAGUCUGCAAGCCAUUGUUCUUGUCAUGUAAUCUCAGAUUUUACGGGUGUCAUCAUGCAGGUCGAUUAGAACAAUGUGUAAUUAUUUAUGCCAGAUGUGUAUCCUCAAGGAUUUUGCUUGGUAACUUAGUGUGUAUCAAAGGAUUCUGAAAAAAAUAAGGUGAGUUGUUAUCGGACAUUGGACCCAUCCUCAUAGAACCAUCAAUAGAAUGAGUGAAGCGCCUCUCAUUUAGAGAAGAAAGAAAUGUGAAGAAUGGGGCUAUUCAUUGAUGCUCAAGUCCUCGAAGAAAUUACAUGAAGGCGGUGAGUGACCUGGUCUUGACUAAACAACCUUUUUUUCAGUGGUGCAUGAUUUUCUGAAGUUUCUUUGCUUGGAGAAGAGUAUGUCUAUGUUAGACCUUAUAGAAGCAUGCAUUUCCCCCUAUGCCCGCUGCGAGAUUCAUUAUGCACACACUAUUAACUGUAAGAUUUAAUUUAUAUUUAAAGAUGAGCUUAUAUAAGGUUCUACAUUCCAAUCGCCCAUGUGGGAGAGGCUGUAUGGUCAAGAAAGGAUGGGUUGGUUCAUUUGGUAAUAUAUUUCUCAACAAAAGCACAAAUUGCACAUAUUUCUCAACCAGCAAGUUUUUUUCUUUAUCGGACCAGUUUCUUUUCUUACUGGGAAGCAUGACUCCAUUGUGUCAAAUCGUAUCAUAUGGUUGGGUUGUUGGGUAAGCAAUUCUUUAUUGGGGUGUGAUACCAUUGGUGCAGCUAUUGAUUGUUCUGUGUUCCCUCAUGUAUUUUCAAUUGUCACUAAGAUUAAAUUUCUGAUAUGUGUUAUGUUUCUCUUUAGUUUGAAGUAGGAGUAUCCUUUCGAAUAAUAUUGUUACAACAAUGAAAAACAAUCUGCAGACUCACUUGCAAAGGUGGAAAUGGAGAGAAAGUUGUUGAUGCUCAAAUCACGCAAUGAAGUAUGGAGCAAGAAGAGACAAAUCUGGAAACAAUUAACUUCCCAUUUUUGUGUGGCCUAUUCUUAGGUUGUAUCGGUUGUGGCAUUGACACUCGGUUUUUUUCUAUUACUCCUGAUGUUGGCCAUUUGAUGAAUAAUUGAUGAAUGCUCAAUUGUUUGGAGUUGAAUUUAAGAAUAUACCAGCAAUAC